This 249-nucleotide ribosomal RNA is filed under the name uncultured prokaryote. RNAcentral describes it as "partial 16S ribosomal RNA". It matches the Rfam family "Bacterial small subunit ribosomal RNA", at positions 524 to 772 of the family's 1533-position model. The record is from RNAcentral.
UACGGAGGAUGCAAGCGUUAUCCGGAUUUAUUGGGUUUAAAGGGUGCGCAGGUUGUUUGAUAAGUCAGUGGUGAAAGUCUGUCGCUUAACGGUAGGAUUGCCAUUGAUACUGUUGGACUUGAAUAUGGAUGAGGUAGGCGGAAUGUGUAGUGUAGCGGUGAAAUGCAUAGAUAUUACACAGAACACCGAUUGCGAAGGCAGCUUACUAAUCCAUCAUUGACGCUGAGGCAUGAAAGCGUGGUGAUCAAA